RNAcentral lists this ribosomal RNA (497 nucleotides) under uncultured bacterium. RNAcentral describes it as "partial 16S ribosomal RNA". It matches the Rfam family "Bacterial small subunit ribosomal RNA", at positions 28 to 507 of the family's 1533-position model. The record is from RNAcentral.
GAUGAACGCUGGCGGCGUGCCUAAUACAUGCAAGUCGAGCGAACAGACGAGGAGCUUGCUCCUUCGACGUUAGCGGCGGACGGGUGAGUAACACGUAGGUAACCUACCUAUAAGACUGGGAUAACUUCGGGAAACCGGAGCUAAUACCGGAUAAUAUUUCGAACCGCAUGGUUCGAUAGUGAAAGAUGGCUUUGCUAUCACUUAUAGAUGGACCUGCGCCGUAUUAGCUAGUUGGUAAGGUAACGGCUUACCAAGGCAACGAUACGUAGCCGACCUGAGAGGGUGAUCGGCCACACUUGAACUGAGACACGGUCCAGACUCCUACGAGAGGCAGCAGUAGGGAAUCUUCCGCAAUGGGCGAAAGCCUGACGGAGCAACGCCGCGUGAGUGAUGAAGGUCUUCCGAUCGUAAAACUCUGUUAUUAGGGAAGAACAAACGUGUAAGUAACUGUGCACGUCUUGACGGUACCUAAUCAGAAAGCCACGGCUAACCACGUG